CACUCCCAAUCAUAGGGUCGUGGACUGGAGGUUUUGUUCUGGGGACACGACAGGCAGUACAACAGUGCUGACCAAUAGUCUACACUGUACACAGAGCCAUCUUCAGGCAAUGAGGUAAAACGCAUACAGCUUUGAAAUCUACCUGAGUAGGUGCCAGCGACCUUCUUGCACAGUGUGUAUGAGAUGGGCAGAGGAAGGGACACUGUGCACUGAGGUGAGGACCAGUAGGGUGACGCGCAAUCCUGCAGGGGUCAAUGGGGAUGGGAGACAGAAAGACACUGGCUCUUACAACAUACAUCUGAAUCUCAGAGGAACCAUGAGACGUCUGCUUCAACCCAAGCUGUGCACCAGCCCUUUUGUUGUAACUCUCACUGUAGUCAUGGUGGUGGCACUUGUCCUAGAGGCUGUCAGGGUGACUGCCACUCACUCAGUGCCUUUAAAAAUACCAGUUUUCUUUGAAAUGGUUAAGAAUAAAACCAGAUUAAAGUUUACUUUGACCUCA
RNAcentral lists this long non-coding RNA (502 nucleotides) under Rattus norvegicus (Norway rat). RNAcentral describes it as "long non-coding RNA NONRATT008984". Lineage: Eukaryota; Metazoa; Chordata; Mammalia; Rodentia; Muridae. The record is from RNAcentral.